GGCCUAUCAGCUUGUUGGUGGGGUAAUGGCCUACCAAGGCGACGACGGGUAGCCGACCUGAGAGGGUGACCGGCCACACUGGGACUGAGACACGGCCCAGACUCCUACGGGAGGCAGCAGUGGGGAAUAUUGCACAAUGGGCGGAAGCCUGAUGCAGCGACGCCGCGUGAGGGACGAAGGCCUUCGGGUUGUAAACCUCUUUCAGCAGGGACGAAGCGUGAGUGGCGGUACCUGCAGAAGAAGCACCGGCUAACUACGUGCCAGCAGCCGCGGUAAUACGUAGGGUGCGAGCGUUGUCCGGAAUUACUGGGCGUAAAGAGUUCGUAGGCGGUUUGUCGCGUCGUUUGUGAAAACCCGGGGCUCAACUUCGGGCUUGCAGGCGAUACGGGCAGACUUGGGUGUUUCAGGGGAGACUGGAAUUCCUGGUGUAGCGGUGAAAUGCGCAGAUAUCAGGAGGAACACCGGUGGCGAAGGCGGGUCUCUGGGAAACAACUGACGCUGAGGAACGAAAGCGUGGGUAGCAAACAGGAUUAGAUACCCUGGUAGUCCACGCCGUAAACGGUGGGCGCUAGGCGUGGGUUCCUUCCAC
RNAcentral lists this ribosomal RNA (589 nucleotides) under uncultured Actinomycetes bacterium. RNAcentral describes it as "bacterial SSU rRNA". It matches the Rfam family "Bacterial small subunit ribosomal RNA", at positions 235 to 836 of the family's 1533-position model. The record is from RNAcentral. Lineage: Bacteria; Bacillati; Actinomycetota; Actinomycetes.